This 388-nucleotide ribosomal RNA is filed under the name uncultured bacterium. RNAcentral's name for it is "bacterial SSU rRNA". It matches the Rfam family "Bacterial small subunit ribosomal RNA", at positions 29 to 408 of the family's 1533-position model. The record is from RNAcentral.
AAUGAACGCUGGCGGCGCGCCUAAUACAUGCAAGUCGAGCGAGAAGACGUAGCAAUACGUUUGUAAAGCGGCGAACGGGUGAGGAAUACAUGGGUAACCACCCUCGAGUGGGGAAUAACUAGCCGAAAGGUUAGCUAAUACCGCGUACGCUUCUUGGACUUCGGUUCAGGGAGGAAAGCGAUACCGUGGGUAUCGCGCUCUUGGAUGGGCUCAUGUCCUAUCAGCUUGUUGGUGAGGUAACGGCUCACCAAGGCUUCGACGGGUAGCUGGUCUGAGAGGACGAUCAGCCACACUGGCACUGCGACACGGGCCAGACUCCUACGGGAGGCAGCAGUAAGGAAUAUUGCGCAAUGGGCGAAAGCCUGACGCAGCGACGCCGCGUGGGGGA